Molecule: long non-coding RNA, 285 nt
Filed under: Mytilus galloprovincialis (Mediterranean mussel)
Lineage: Eukaryota; Metazoa; Mollusca; Bivalvia; Mytilida; Mytilidae
Source: RNAcentral
UUAAGGUAGCACAAUACAAAGAUUUUAUAACUCCAACUCCCAAGUUUUAAAAUGCUGUAACUUUCUUAAUAAUGCUUGAAAAUUUAUAAUAGUGGUUGUUUUGGAUAGCUAACAGAUUACUCUUUCAAAUUAAUGCAAUGUUAGUAUUAUGCAACAAUUAUGUAACCAAUUAUAAUGUUAACUGUGUCUAAAAUAUUUUUCACCAAAUUUCCACUUUCAAAUGAAAUUAGCUUCUGCAUAGGUAUCCCUAGAGGGUUGAAUUUAUUAUAUGUUGUUCCUAUGGCC